This 253-nucleotide ribosomal RNA is filed under the name uncultured bacterium. RNAcentral's name for it is "partial 16S ribosomal RNA". It matches the Rfam family "Bacterial small subunit ribosomal RNA", at positions 524 to 776 of the family's 1533-position model. RNAcentral also lists the same sequence under 1 other name. The record is from RNAcentral.
UACGGAGGGAGCUAGCGUUGUUCGGAAUUACUGGGCGUAAAGCGCACGUAGGCGGCGACUCAAGUCAGAGGUGAAAGCCCGGGGCUCAACCCCGGAACUGCCUUUGAAACUAGGUUGCUAGAAUCUUGGAGAGGUCAGUGGAAUUCCGAGUGUAGAGGUGAAAUUCGUAGAUAUUCGGAAGAACACCAGUGGCGAAGGCGACUGACUGGACAAGUAUUGACGCUGAGGUGCGAAAGCGUGGGGAGCAAACAGG